AAAAUUGCCAAUUAUAUCCCCUCUACCUAAAAAUUAAUACUCAUAGUUCACUAGAUUGAUUUACCUCGGAUCACUAGAACAUCUCUCUCCAAUUCAUCAGAGAAUAUUAUUUCCUUCGAAUCAUUUUAUCUACGCGACAAUCUCAAAAUUGAGUUCCCGGUGACUGAAUGACAUACCCGCAACAGUGAAUCUUAGAGCUUGUCUUGGUAGAAUGUUUGCUAGUUUCGAAACCUUCAAUUCUUUGCCUGGGAAUAUAGGAAUGUCCCAAGGAUAGCAAUGGCAGCUCCCAAUGCAUUCACAGGCUGGACAGGUGUGCGGAAGAUUAUGAUGGAGGAG
RNAcentral lists this unclassified non-coding RNA (336 nucleotides) under Hevea brasiliensis (rubber tree). The record is from RNAcentral. Lineage: Eukaryota; Viridiplantae; Streptophyta; Magnoliopsida; Malpighiales; Euphorbiaceae.